Molecule: small nucleolar RNA, 197 nt
Filed under: Microcebus murinus (gray mouse lemur)
Lineage: Eukaryota; Metazoa; Chordata; Mammalia; Primates; Cheirogaleidae
Description: Small nucleolar RNA U3 (ENSMICG00000019419.3)
Rfam family: Small nucleolar RNA U3
About the family: Small nucleolar RNAs (snoRNAs) are involved in the processing and modification of rRNA in the nucleolus. There are two main classes of snoRNAs: the box C/D class, and the box H/ACA class.
Source: Rfam by way of RNAcentral
AAGACUAUACUUUCGGGGAUCAUUUCUAUACUUUAACUAGAGAAGUUUCUCUGAAUGUAUAGAGCAGGAAACCAGGAGGAGGAGGUGCAGCGUUCUCUCCUGAGUGUGAAGCUGGCUUUGCUGCAACUGCUGUUUGCCACUGAUGAUCGUUCUCUCCUUUUGGGGCAGUGAGAGGGAGAGGACACAGUCUGAGUGGU